CAUGAGAUCUUCCACCUCAGAGCGCUUUUUCUCCUGCUCCUGCUGUAAAUGGCUGCAAAAACAACCAUGUGGAACAGGAUUCUUGUGUACACCUACUUCAGUAUAAAGUCAAAUUAUGGAGAUGUGCCAAAUUUUUCCACAGUGAGGUAGGUAACUAUAAAUAGGAGGAAAGUCAAACUUUAAAAGCAGAAAGGAAACUAUUUCUGGAACUGUGUGUCAGAUAAACAGAGAAUUUCAGAAUUGAAAAUUGGCUGUAUAGAUUCAAUUAAUAAAAUGAUUUUCAUCAUGAGCUUUAUACUAACGAAACUGAAUUAGAUGUUUUUCAGGACAUCCUAAUCUGUAAAUUAAGAUUCACAGAAUUCAUACCUUCAGUCUUGCUUUUAUUAAUCAUCACUAAGAAAUCUUGCUUUCAGUACUAGGAUUUUAAACUGUAACAUGCCAGACUUUUUUUCUUAACACUCAUUCGGAAGUCUAUUAUCAAAAAUUAUCUAGGGGAAUUGGUUGAGAUAGAGCAUAAUUAUUCAACUAAAUACAAGCCUCUGAUAAAACAAUAAUAAGUAACCAAACUGAUUAUUACUUGACAUGUACAUAUAAAUCUAAGCAAUAUCAAACUAUGAAAGUAAAAUCACAUGCUGCUAACUGUGAUAUAAUCAACUAUAUUUUAUCAGUAAUAAACAUAGGUUUAGAAAGCAGAAAAAUGAACAGAUAAAGCCCACAGAUUCUAAAUUGAACAUGAAAGCCUGUAAAGUUUUAAGUGCUCUUGAAAUAUACUUUACUGAUUUCAUUUUUUUUUCAGUUCUGGUCACUUUUUCAGAAGAAGGAAGUCAAAACAGACUGUCCUGUAUAGUAAUCAGUAAGUGAUAGUGACAUUCCUAUUUCCUAUCAGCCAACGUCUGUCUUCAGAGUAGUGUUUUAUAAGCAUCUUAUCAAACUGAGGAAAAAAAAAAAUCACAAAAACUGCAGUACUGUUUAUGGAGAGAACAUGCAGUUGCUAUGAGUGGAAGCUCAAGCACAAACCUUCUUGAACAUGUUGUCUGUGACUAUCUUUUGCUUUAGCUUGUUGAAUUUCAAGUUGCUCCAUCAACAACCUGUUUUCUUCCAAGACCAGCCUGGCCUGAGUUUGUAGCUGUUGCCUGCAAUAACAAGCAGUUUAUAAAAUGACUGAAGUUUAUGUCCAAAGGAGAAAACAACCAGCUUCCAACAGUGUAAACUUACAAUUAUAUUUGAAUGCCUUUCAGUAACAAAUGAAAAACCUCCAUCAAAAGCAAUCUUAAAACCUAAGGUAAGCUUGCUAGAGACAUAAAAUGUCUUUGAAAAUGUAAAUUAUUUGAAGUAGUUUUUUUACAAACUAAAUAAAAAAAUCACUGUAGAUGGAAGGAAAGAUACGUAUGUGUAAAUUAGAGUCACAGAAUCAGAGUGAUUUAGGCUGGAAGAGACCUCUGUAUGUCAUCUGAUCCAGUCCCCUGCCAGUCUUAAGAUCUGUAAUCUUGUGCAUUUGCAUGGAUCAAGCAAAACGAUUAGUAAUUUUUCAUUUAUUUCUCAUACUAUAACUUGCCAUUCUGUAGUGGUAAUUAAGUUAUUUUUAUUUAAUUGCUCAUGCAGGUCUUCAUUUUCCUUCACCAGCUCUUCAACUUGUACUUUAAAAUUCUUCAUAUCCUCCUGGAAGAUAAAGGAUUUCAAAUUAAAAUGUUUAGAGGAGUGGUACUACGUAAGAUAUAUAAAUCAACUGAUGGCUUCCAGAAGAUUAAGGUAAGACAGAAUGUAAAAGGUGUGUGUGGGAAGCACUAUACAGAGUUCACAUUUUCUCUGAGACACUGUGAAAAAAAAAAAAAAACAACUUUCCAUAAGGCACAAGGAAAACACGUGGAUUUUCCUUCUCCCUAACACAGGUAAUCAGAGAGGUGAGACAGAAAUAGGCAAUGCAGGAAGCACAGUGUCCAUGUCUGCAUAGGUUAGUUGAUCUUCCUAUGCCUCCUUUUGUUUUAAUCAAGUAUGUAAUUAAAGCUUUGCUCUUCUUCCCACUGAAUAAGUUUGUGUUCUUUAUGCACAGAAGCUACUUCACAGUCCUCAAAAAGCAAAACUUUAAAUUGCCUGCAGGAAUACAGAUACAUUGUUACAUUAGCAAUAAGGGAUCUACUUCAUUUUUUUUCUUUCCUGCCAUAUGGACUAAACAGCUUAUCUAUUAAAAUAAGAGCUGCAAUUUCACCAUUAAUGACAGACUUUAAGAGACAGAAUAAUCUAGUAGCGUACUGUGUGAAUAUAACUUAAUAUAGUCACAGUUCCUUAGUAUAGAAAUAUAUACAUGAAACAAAGUAAUUUGUUUUGAUAUGCAGAGCUCUGUUACUGACAUAGAGCAGCUUCAUUUGUUUAGUCACACUACUUCUUGUGAGAAGGUCUGAGAUACUUAGGCUACACAGAAAUAUAUAAAAACCCAUGAACUCCUGUUAGGCAGAUACUUCUCCAUUUAUCCAUGUGACAAGCUUAGGAGUGCUGUGCCUGAAUUUGCUACAUGGAUGCAAUUAUUUAAGGCAGCAGCUGAAGACAGACCACACACCUCAUGUCAACCAGUUCAGUUGCAGUGAGAUACUUAGUAAUGGUGACAGCCUUUAACAUAGAUGUAACUUAGGGGACUAGAGAAGUCCAGUAUAACUUUCAUUUCAUUACAUUGCUUAACAAUCACUUACUUCCUAUUUAAAAAGAUCACUUAGAUUGGAAAACAAAAACAAAUUAAAUACCCAACAUAAAAAGCCUAGAACUACUGUUUUAAUACAUACCACAACAGUCAGCAUUUUAUCUGAGCAGGAAAAAUAUAUUUCUUCGUGAAUUAGGCUUACUGAGUAUAAGCUGGAAAAUGUAUUUUCAUAAACAUGCAUUCCUUGAAAGUGAAGAUUUGCAGUAAUGUCACAGAAAAAU
Molecule: non-coding RNA, 2913 nt
Organism: Phasianus colchicus (ring-necked pheasant)
Lineage: Eukaryota; Metazoa; Chordata; Aves; Galliformes; Phasianidae
Source: RefSeq, a predicted model, not a curated record